RNAcentral lists this non-coding RNA (29 nucleotides) under Mus musculus (house mouse). Lineage: Eukaryota; Metazoa; Chordata; Mammalia; Rodentia; Muridae. The record is from RNAcentral.
UUGGUGUCCGUGGUACCAUUCCGUUCUCC